This is a non-coding RNA of Triticum aestivum (bread wheat), 115 nucleotides long. The record is from Rfam. Lineage: Eukaryota; Viridiplantae; Streptophyta; Magnoliopsida; Poales; Poaceae.
GUAGUACUCCCUCCGUUUCAAAUUACUCGUCGCAGAAAUGGAUGUAUCUAGAACUAAAAUACAUCUAGAUACAUCUAUACCUGCGACAAGUAAUUCGGAAUGGAGGGAGUAGUAG